Molecule: ribosomal RNA, 253 nt
Filed under: uncultured bacterium
Lineage: Bacteria
Description: partial 16S ribosomal RNA
Rfam family: Bacterial small subunit ribosomal RNA
Source: RNAcentral
UACAGAGGUCUCAAGCGUUGUUCGGAUUCAUUGGGCGUAAAGGGCGCGUAGGCUGCGGGGCAAGUCGGGUGUGAAAUCUCAGAGCUCAACUCUGAAACUGCACUCGAUACUGCUUUGCUCGAGGACUGGAGAGGAGAUUGGAAUUCACGGUGUAGCAGUGAAAUGCGUAGAUAUCGUGAGGAGGACCAGUGGCGAAGGCGGAUCUCUGGACAGUUCCUGACGCUGAGGCGCGAAGGCCAGGGGAGCAAACGGG